Dunckerocampus dactyliophorus (ringed pipefish) is the source of this 735-nucleotide long non-coding RNA. RefSeq lists it as uncharacterized. The transcript is spliced from 3 exons. NCBI's taxonomy places the organism in Eukaryota, Metazoa, Chordata, Actinopteri, Syngnathiformes, Syngnathidae. The record is from RefSeq and is a predicted model, not a curated record.
AGUCAAUGGGCCCUCAUGAUCUCACACGAGGUCAACCGCUGUUAAGUAGCUUAUCGGCCAACAGCUCUGCAGUCGACUGAGGAGGAGAACCAGAGGAGAAAGACAGCAGGGCUCAGGACUUGUGGAAACGAGCGUGCGCCUCCAUGGCAAGAACACCCCUUUUUAAGUUUCGAUCUGGCACAAGAAGGCCAAGACAGCAGAGGUCCGGGUCUCGAGGGCCGCAGUCUCAGUAGGGAACUCCAGACUUCUCGGUCCCUGGCCACCACUUCCAAUUCCACCGGGACGACACCGAGGUGUUCCCAGGCCAGCUAUGAGACAUAAUCCCUCAGGCGUGUCCUUGGUCUGCCCCCGGCUCUUCCCGGAUGGGCAUGCCCGGGACACCCAGAAGACCAAGUUCCUCACCCUAUCUCUUUAGGUGAGUCAACAGUCCGGUACAGUGACCACAUUUUGCAGAUGCUGUACCGACCCGCCCGUUAAUUUCAUGCUCCAGCCUUCCCUCGCUCGUGAACAAGACCCCAAGAUACUUGAACUUCUCCAGCUGGGACAAGAUCUCACUCGCAACCCCAAGGGUGCAAGCCACCCUUUACCGACUGAGAACCAUAGCUUCAGAUUUGGAGGUGCUGAGUCUCAUCCCAGAAGAUUCACACUCAGCUGCUAAUUUCCCCAGUAAAUGCUGAAGGUCACAUCAGGACCACAUCAUCUGCAAAUAGCAGGGAUGAGAUCCUAAGGCCCCCA